CCGGUACAGUGGCGCACGGGUGAGUAACACGUAGAUGACCUUCCCUGGAGUGGUGGAUAACCUGCCGAAAGGCGGGCUAAUACAGCAUAUGACCACGCGGUUCUGACCGCGCGGUGAAAGCGGGCCUCUGUACACAAGCUCGCGCUCUGGGAUGGGUCUGCGUCCCAUCAGCUCGUUGGUGAGGUAACGGCUCACCAAGGCUACGACGGGUAGCUGGUCUGAGAGGAUGACCAGCCACACUGGAACUGAGACACGGUCCAGACUCCUACGGGAGGCAGCAGUGGGGAAUCUUGCGCAAUGGGCGAAAGCCUGACGCAGCGACGCCGCGUGGGUGACGAAGGCCUUCGGGUUGUGAAGCCCUGUGGGGAGGAACGAACCGUGGGCGGGUAAACACCCCGCUCACCUGACGGUACCUCUUUAGCAAGCAUCGGCUAACUCUGUGCCAGCAGCCGCGGUAAGACAGAGGAUGCGAACGUUGCUCGGAAUUACUGGGCGUAAAGCGCGCGUAGGUGGUCCCGUAAGUCGUGUGUGAAAUCCCUCUGCUCAACGGAGGACGUGCACGGGAUACUGCGGGACUGGAGUACAGAAGAGGACAGCGGAAUUCCCGGUGUAGAGGUGAAAUUCGUAGAUAUCGGGAGGAACACCAGUGGCGAAGGCGGCUGUCUGGGCUGAUACUGACACUGAGGCGCGAAAGCGUGGGAAGCAAACAGGAUUAGAUACCCUGGUAGUCCACGCCGUAAACGAUGACGACUGGGUGUUGCCGGGUAUUGACCCCCGCGGUGCCGAAGCCAACGCGUUAAGUCGUCCGCCUGGGAAGUACGGCCGCAAGGCUAAAACUCAAAGGAAUUGACGGGGGCCCGCACAAGCGGUGG
This 872-nucleotide ribosomal RNA is filed under the name uncultured bacterium. RNAcentral's name for it is "bacterial SSU rRNA". It matches the Rfam family "Bacterial small subunit ribosomal RNA", at positions 87 to 935 of the family's 1533-position model. The record is from RNAcentral.